RNAcentral lists this ribosomal RNA (497 nucleotides) under uncultured bacterium. Its description in RNAcentral is "partial 16S ribosomal RNA". It matches the Rfam family "Bacterial small subunit ribosomal RNA", at positions 28 to 507 of the family's 1533-position model. The record is from RNAcentral.
GAUGAACGCUGGCGGCGUGCCUAAUACAUGCAAGUCGAGCGAACGGACGAGAAGCUUGCUUCUCUGAUGUUAGCGGCGGACGGGUGAGUAAAACGUGGAUAACCUACCUAUAAGACUGGGAUAACUUCGGGAAACCGUAGCUAAUACCGGAUAAUAUUUUGAACCGCAUGGUUCAAAAGUGAAAGACGGUCUUGCUGUCACUUAUAGAUGGAUCCGCGCUGCAUUAGCUAGUUGGUAAGGUAACGGCUUACCAAGGCAACGAUGCAUAGCCGACCUGAGAGGGUGAUCGGCCACACUGGAACUGAGACACGGUCCAGACUCCUACGGGAGGCAGCAGUAGGGAAUCUUCCGCAAUGGGCGAAAGCCUGACGGAGCAACGCCGCGUGAGUGAUGAAGGUCUUCGGAUCGUAAAACUCUGUUAUUAGGGAAGAACAUAUGUGUAAGUAACUGUGCACAUCUUGACGGUACCUAAUCAGAAAGCCACGGCUAACUACGUG